CCUACGGGCGGCAGCAGUGGGGAAUAUUGCGCAAUGGGCGAAAGCCUGACGCAGCGACGCCGCGUGAGGGAUGAAGGUCUUCGGAUCGGAAACCUCUGUCAGCAGGGAAGAACGGUCACUGUGCUAAUCAGCAGUGAAUUGACGGUACCUGCAAAGGAAGCACCGGCUAACUCCGUGCCAGCAGCCGCGGUAAAACGGAGGGUGCGAGCGUUAAUCGGAAUUACUGGGCGUAAAGCGCUCGUAGGCGGUAUGUCAAGUCAAGGGUGAAAUCCCCGCGCUCAACAGGGGAACUGCCUUUGAAACUGGCAAACUGGAGUGUGGGAGAGGUUAGUGGAAUUCCAGGUGUAGAGGUGAAAUCCGUAGAUAUCUCGAGGAACCUCAGUGGCGAAGGCAACUGUCUGGCACAUAACUGACGCUGAGGAGCGAAAGCGUGGGUAGCAAACAGGAUUAGAUACCCGAGUAGUC
Molecule: ribosomal RNA, 465 nt
Filed under: uncultured bacterium
Lineage: Bacteria
Description: partial 16S ribosomal RNA
Rfam family: Bacterial small subunit ribosomal RNA
Source: RNAcentral